GGACCGAACGCACAUCCGUUGAAAAGGGUGGCGAUGAGGUGUGGAUAGGGGAGAAAUUCCAAUCGAACCCGGAGAUAGCUGGUUCUCCUCGAAAUAGCUUUAGGGCUAGCCUCGUAUUAGUCUAGUGGAGGUAGAGCACUGAAUUUCCUAGGGGGCGUCAAAGCUUACCGAAGAAUAUCAAACUCCGAAUGCCAUAUAGAUGAUGUACGGGAGUCAGACUGCACGAGAUAAGUUGGGCAGUCAAAAGGGAAAGAGCCCAGACCGCCAGCUAAGGUCCCAAAGUGUGUGUUAAGUGGAAAAGGAUGUGGGAUUUCGAAGACAACUAGGAUGUUGGCUCAGAAGCAGCCAUACAUUAAAAGAGUGCGUAAUAGCUCACUAGUCGAGAGGUCCUGCGCCGAAAAUGUCCGGGGCUGAAACACAACACCGAAGCUGCGGAACCCGCAAGGGUUGGUAGAGGAGCAUUCUUAAAGGAACGAAGCAGUACCGUAAGGAGCUGUGGACUUUUAAGAAGAGAGAAUGCCGGAAUGAGUAGCGAGAGUAAGGUGAGAAUCCUUACGGCCGAAUAUCCAAGGUUUCCAGGGUAAAGCUGAUCUGCCCUGGGGAAGUCGGGACCUAAGGCGAGGCCGAGAGGCGUAGCCGAUGGACAACAGGUUGAGAUUCCUGUACUACAGUAUGACAGAACUGUGGGGACGCAGAAGGAGAGCACUACCUGGAAUGGAAUCCAGGGGCAAGCACAGGAGGGGUACGGCUGGAAAAACCGCCGUGCAACCCAAAGGUGUGACGCAUACCGAACUAAAGUAGGGAAAUGUGUGAGCCGGCUGCCGAGAAAAGCCGCUAUUGUUUGUACUGUACCCGUACCGUAAACCGACACAGGUGGAUGAGGAGAGAAUCCUAAGGCCGACGGAAGAAGCAUUGCUAAGGAACUCGGCAAAAUGACCCUGUAACUUCGGGAGAAAGGGUGCCUCGAAAGAGGCCGCAGAGAAUAGGCCCAAGCAACUGUUUAGCAAAAACACAGGUCUAUGCAAAACCGCAAGGUGAAGUAUAUGGGCUGACGCCUGCCCGGUGCUGGAAGGUUAAGGGGAGAUGUCAGGAGACGAAGCAUCGAACUUAAGCCCCAGUAAACGGCGGCCGUAACUAUAACGGUCCUAAGGUAGCGAAAUUCCUUGUCGGGUAAGUUCCGACCCGCACGAAAGGCGUAAUGAUUUGGGCGCUGUCUCGGCAAUGCAUCCGGUGAAAUUGAAGUGCCAGUGAAGAUGCUGGCUACCCGCGCCAGGACGGAAAGACCCCAUGGAGCUUUACUCCAGCUUGAUACUGGGAUUCGGUAUUGUAUGUACAGGAUAGGUGGGAGGCUGAGAAAUGGUGACGCCAGUCGCCAUGGAGCCGCUGUUGGGAUACCACCCUUGCAGUACUGGAUUUCUAACCAGCAGCCGUUAACCGGCUGGGGGACAAUGUCAGGUGGGGAGUUUGACUGGGGCGGUCGCCUCCGAAAGGGUAUCGGAGGCGCUCAAAGGUUCCCUCAGAAUGGUCGGAAACCAUUCGAAGAGUGCAAAGGCAGAAGGGAGCUUGACUGCGACACCGACGGGUGGAGCAGGUACGAAAGUAGGACUUAGUGAUCCGGUGGUAUUAAGUGGGAAUGCCAUCGCUCAACGGAUAAAAGCUACCCU
This 1664-nucleotide ribosomal RNA is filed under the name metagenome. RNAcentral describes it as "bacterial LSU rRNA". It matches the Rfam family "Bacterial large subunit ribosomal RNA", at positions 771 to 2469 of the family's 2925-position model. The record is from RNAcentral.